RNAcentral lists this ribosomal RNA (1959 nucleotides) under Triticum aestivum (bread wheat). RNAcentral's name for it is "partial small subunit ribosomal RNA". The record is from RNAcentral. Lineage: Eukaryota; Viridiplantae; Streptophyta; Magnoliopsida; Poales; Poaceae.
AUGAUUCCGCUGUGCGCAUCCUCCUCCCCGUCCACACCCGCUAUAAUAGCGCCACGCCCUCGUCGCCUUCGUCACCGCACCACCACUCCCUCCCUACCUCACUCCCGAUCCCCCCACCGCCACCUCCUCCUCGCCUCGCCCUCCUCGCCCGCUCCGACCCCACGCCCCCUCGCGCGCGCGCAGCGGCUCGCCGCCGCGGCCACGGCAGCGGAGAUGGUGUUCUCCGUGACGAAGAAGGAGACCAAGCCCUACGAGGGCCAGAAGCCCGGCACCUCCGGCCUCCGCAAGAAGGUUACAGUAUUCCAGCAGCCUCAUUACCUCGCGAAUUUCGUUCAAGCAACAUUUAAUGCCCUUCCAGCUGACCAAGUAAAAGGUGCCACCAUUGUUGUCUCCGGCGAUGGGCGCUAUUUCUCAAAGGAUGCUGUUCAGAUCAUUGCAAAAAUGGCUGCUGCUAAUGGAGUAAGACGUGUCUGGGUUGGACAAGACAGUCUCUUGUCAACUCCAGCUGUAUCUGCUAUCAUCCGUGAAAGAAUUUCUGCAGAUGGCGCAAAGGCUACUGGUGCCUUCAUUUUAACAGCCAGCCACAACCCAGGUGGUCCAACUGAGGACUUUGGAAUCAAAUACAACAUGGGGAAUGGUGGACCCGCCCCUGAGUCUGUUACCGAUAAGAUCUUCUCUAAUACAAAGACAAUUACUGAAUACCUCAUUGCGGAGGACCUUCCAAAUGUUGAUAUUUCUGUGACAGGUGUCACUUCCUUCACUGGACCUGAAGGACCUUUUGAUGUCGAUGUCUUUGACUCUGCUACAGAUUACAUCAAGCUAAUGAAGACAAUCUUUGACUUUGAGUCUAUUAAAAAGCUUCUGGCAUCUCCAAAGUUCUCGUUCUGUUUUGAUGGCCUUCACGGUGUUGCUGGAGCUUAUGCAAAGCGCAUGUUUGUGGAUGAGCUCGGCGCCAGUGAAAGCUCACUGUUGAACUGUGUUCCAAAGGAAGACUUUGGAGGUGGUCAUCCUGACCCUAACCUCACCUAUGCAAAAGAACUGGUUGAGCGGAUGGGUCUUGGGAAAACCUCAAACGCUGACCCCCCUGAAUUUGGUGCGGCAGCUGAUGGAGAUGCUGACCGUAACAUGGUUCUGGGUAAACGAUUCUUUGUGACACCAUCAGAUUCGGUUGCCAUUAUCGCAGCCAAUGCUGUCCAAUCAAUUCCUUACUUCGCUUCUGGCCUGAAGGGAGUUGCCAGGAGCAUGCCAACAUCAGCUGCACUUGAUGUAGUUGCAAAGAAUCUAAAUCUCAAGUUCUUUGAGGUGCCUACUGGGUGGAAAUUUUUUGGAAACCUGAUGGAUGCUGGAAUGUGCUCAGUUUGUGGUGAAGAAAGCUUUGGCACGGGUUCUGACCACAUCCGUGAAAAGGAUGGUAUUUGGGCUGUUCUAGCUUGGCUAUCUAUUCUAGCUUACAAGAACAAGGACAACCUUGGAGGAGAUAAGCUUGUUACGGUUGAAGACAUUGUUCUUCAGCACUGGGCUACUUAUGGUCGCCAUUAUUAUACACGAUAUGACUAUGAGAAUGUUGAUGCAGAAGCUGCCAAGGAACUUAUGGCUAACCUAGUAAAGAUGCAGUCGUCCCUGUCUGACGUUAACAAGUCGAUCAAGGAGAUCCAGCCUACUGUUGCAGAUGUGGUUUCGGCUGAUGAGUUUGAGUACAAGGACCCUGUUGAUGGUUCUGUCUCCAAGCAUCAGGGUAUCCGGUAUCUCUUUGGAGAUGGUUCCCGACUGGUGUUCCGCCUUUCUGGAACUGGUUCAGUUGGUGCUACUAUCCGUAUUUACAUUGAGCAGUAUGAGAAGGAUUCUUCCAAAACCGGGAGGGAGUCGAGCGAUGCUCUUUCUCCACUGGUUGACGUGGCCCUGAAGCUUUCGAAGAUCCAGGAGUACACCGGCCGAUCUGCCCCCACGGUGAUCACAUAA